Molecule: long non-coding RNA, 259 nt
Filed under: Homo sapiens (human)
Lineage: Eukaryota; Metazoa; Chordata; Mammalia; Primates; Hominidae
Description: HSALNT0256737
Source: RNAcentral
CGGCAGCGUCGGUGGCUCCAGCGCCGGCCCCACGGGCCCCGCGGCCUCUGCGGACAGAUGGCCAGGGCAGGGAGUCACUCUGUGCCCUAUUCAACAUAGAGGCCCAGGGCAUCCAGGCUCAGCCUGUUUCCGUGCAGCAUGAGCUUGGAGGCCCUGUGAGAGGAUGAGUCGCCUGUCACUAGAGGUAAGCAAGCAGAAUCCAGGGGCUGCAGCCAGGCUGGAACUUACCUGUCCUUUCAAUGGCCUCCACAAGCUUCAC